CAUGUAGGCGGUUGUUUAAGUCUGAUGUGAAAGCCCUGGGCUCAACCCAGGAAGUGCAUUGGAUACUGGAUAACUUGAGUACGGGAGAGGAAAGUGGAAUUUCGAGUGUAGGGGUGAAAUCCGUAGAUAUUCGAAGGAACACCAGUGGCGAAGGCGGCUUUCUGGACCGAUACUGACGCUGAGAUGCGAAAGCGUGGGGAGCAAACA
RNAcentral lists this ribosomal RNA (207 nucleotides) under uncultured bacterium. Its description in RNAcentral is "partial 16S ribosomal RNA". It matches the Rfam family "Bacterial small subunit ribosomal RNA", at positions 568 to 774 of the family's 1533-position model. The record is from RNAcentral.